UCAGGAUGAACGCUAGCUACAGGCUUAACACAUGCAAGUCGAGGGGCAGCAUAUUGGUAGCUUGCUACCAAUGAUGGCGACCGGCGCACGGGUGAGUAACGCGUAUCCAACUUCCCCAUAGUAGGGCAUAGCCCGUAGAAAUGCGGAUUAAUACCCUAUGUAUUCCGAGGAUGACAUCUGAUUCGGAACAAAGGUUCACCGCUAUGGGAUGGGGAUGCGUCUGAUUAGGUAGUAGGCGGGGUAACGGCCCACCUAGCCGACGAUCAGUAGGGUUCUGAGAGGAAGGUCCCCCACAUUGGAACUGAGACACGGUCCAAACUCCUACGGGAGGCAGCAGUGAGGAAUAUUGGUCAAUGGGCGAGAGCCUGAACCAGCCAAGUAGCCGUGCAGGAUGACGGCCCUAUGGGUUGUAAACUGCUUUUAUACAGGGAUAAAGUCGGGGACGCGUUCCCCGUUUGCAGGUACUGUAUGAAUAAGGACCGGCUAAUUCCGUGCCAGCCGCAGC
This 505-nucleotide ribosomal RNA is filed under the name uncultured bacterium. Its description in RNAcentral is "bacterial SSU rRNA". It matches the Rfam family "Bacterial small subunit ribosomal RNA", at positions 24 to 518 of the family's 1533-position model. The record is from RNAcentral.